This 253-nucleotide ribosomal RNA is filed under the name uncultured bacterium. RNAcentral's name for it is "partial 16S ribosomal RNA". It matches the Rfam family "Bacterial small subunit ribosomal RNA", at positions 524 to 776 of the family's 1533-position model. The record is from RNAcentral.
UACGAAGGUGGCAAGCGUUGUUCGGAUUUAUUGGGCGUAAAGGGCGCGUAGGCGGUUGGUUAAGUCCUCCGUGAAAUCUCCAGGCUUAACCUGGAAAGUGCAGAGGGGACGGUUCAGCUAGAGGAUGGGAGAGGAGCGCGGAAUUCCCGGUGUAGCGGUGAAAUGCGUAGAGAUCGGGAGGAAGGCCGGUGGCGAAGGCGGCGCUCUGGAACAUUUCUGACGCUGAGGCUCGAAAGCGUGGGGAGCAAACAGG